This 323-nucleotide ribosomal RNA is filed under the name uncultured Pseudomonadota bacterium. RNAcentral's name for it is "bacterial SSU rRNA". It matches the Rfam family "Bacterial small subunit ribosomal RNA", at positions 28 to 351 of the family's 1533-position model. Lineage: Bacteria; Pseudomonadati; Pseudomonadota. The record is from RNAcentral.
AUUGAACGCUGGCGGCAUGCUUUACACAUGCAAGUCGAGCGGCAGCGCGGGGGCAACCCUGGCGGCGAGCGGCGAACGGGUGAGUAAUGCAUCGGAACGUGUCCCGUAAUGGGGGAUAACGCCGCGAAAGCGGCGCUAAUACCGCAUACGCUCUACGGAGGAAAGUGGGGGAUCUGCAAGGACCUCACGUUAGGGGAGCGGCCGAUGUCCGAUUAGCUAGUUGGUGGGGUAACGGCCUACCAAGGCGACGAUCGGUAGCUGGUCUGAGAGGAUGAUCAGCCACACUGGGACUGAGACACGGCCCAGACUCCUACGGGAGGCAG